This 848-nucleotide ribosomal RNA is filed under the name Polarella glacialis. Its description in RNAcentral is "partial large subunit ribosomal RNA". It matches the Rfam family "Eukaryotic large subunit ribosomal RNA", at positions 87 to 843 of the family's 3401-position model. The record is from RNAcentral. Lineage: Eukaryota; Dinophyceae; Suessiales; Suessiaceae.
UGGCGAACGAACAGGGAUGAGCUCGGCUUGGAAACUGGGGCCUUGGCUCUGGAUUGUAGCCUCGAGACAUAUUGCCAACGGAGGCGCAGGUGUAAGCCUCUUGGAAAAGAGCAUCAACGUGGGUGAGAAUCCUGUGUUUCAUCUGCAGUCCACCGUGCACGGCACAUGUUCUCAGAGUCGCGUUCCUCGGAAUUGGAGCGUAAAGUGGGUGGUAAAUUUCAUCUAAAGCUAAAUAUAGGCUUGAGACCGAUAGCAAACAAGUACCAUGAGGGAAAGAUGAAAAGGACUUUGAAAAGAGAGUUAAAAGUGCUUGAAAUCGCUGAAAGGGAAGCGAAUGGAACCAGUCCUCUGGCUGAGAUUGUUGCAUGCUCCUGUGAUACCUGGCUGCUUCAGCGCAAGCGUUGCAGUUGGUGUUGAGCGGCUGUGUGUGGUGACUCUCAGCUUGUUAGUCAACCGCUGUUCAUACUUGAGGAAAGCCCCAGGUUCAUGAUUCUUCUCUGUGGAGUCGGUCUUGUGCUUGUGGGGACCCAGGUGUGUACAGUUUCCUGAGUGUCUGGUGCUAACGCCUGGUGAUGCUCUGUGUGGGUGUUGCUUUUCCAAGCUUCGCUCGCUCGGGUGUCCUCGGUGAUCUCCUGACAUACAGUGGUGACGAAAUGGUUCUCUUCGACCCGUCUUGAAACACGGACCAAGGAGUCUAGCACAUGUGCGAGUUCACAGGUGGUAAGCCUGCUUGCGCAAUGAAGGUGACAGCUGGGAUUCUUGCACCAGCAACCGACCAAUCAAUUGAGAGAAGUUUGAGUAUGAGCAUAUGUGUUAGGACCCGAAAGAUGGUGAACUAUGCCUGCGAA